UCCAAGCCUGAGGAUACUCAUCUCCAU
This 27-nucleotide non-coding RNA is filed under the name Rattus norvegicus (Norway rat). Lineage: Eukaryota; Metazoa; Chordata; Mammalia; Rodentia; Muridae. The record is from RNAcentral.